AUUGAACGCUGGCGGCGUGCCUAACACAUGCAAGUCGAGCGGUAACAGGUGUAGCAAUACAUGCUGACGAGCGGCGGACGGGUGAGUAACGCUUGGGAAUCUGCCUGUUAGUGGGGGACAACCCGGGGAAACUCGGGCUAAUACCGCAUACGCACUACGGUGGAAAGCCGGGGACCGCAAGGCCUGGCGCUAACAGAUGAGCCCAAGUCGGAUUAGCUAGUUGGUAGGGUAACGGCCUACCAGGGCGACGAUCCGUAACUGGUCUGAGAGGACGACCAGUCACACCGGAACUGAGACACGGUCCGGACUCCUACGGGAGGCAGCAGUGGGGAAUAUUGGACAAUGGGCGAAAGCCUGAUCCAGCGACGCCGCGUGGUGAAGAAGGCCUGCGGGUUGUAAAGCCCUUUCGGUGGGGAAGAAAAGCCUCGAGUUAAUACCUCGGGUCUUGACGUACCCAUAGAGAAGCACCGGCUAACUCUGUGCCAGCCGCCGCCGUAAG
RNAcentral lists this ribosomal RNA (499 nucleotides) under uncultured bacterium. Its description in RNAcentral is "bacterial SSU rRNA". It matches the Rfam family "Bacterial small subunit ribosomal RNA", at positions 29 to 524 of the family's 1533-position model. The record is from RNAcentral.